UGGGGAAUAUUGGACAAUGGGCGCAAGCCUGAUCCAGCCAUGCCGCGUGUGUGAAGAAGGCCUUAUGGUUGUAAAGCACUUUAAGCGAGGAGGAGGCUACUUUAGUUAAUACCUAGAGAUAGUGGACGUUACUCGCAGAAUAAGCACCGGCUAACUCUGUGCCAGCAGCCGCGGUAAUACAGAGGGUGCGAGCGUUAAUCGGAUUUACUGGGCGUAAAGCGUGCGUAGGCGGCUGAUUAAGUCGGAUGUGAAAUCCCUGAGCUUAACUUAGGAAUUGCAUUCGAUACUGGUCAGCUAGAGUAUGGGAGAGGAUGGUAGAAUUCCAGGUGUAGCGGUGAAAUGCGUAGAGAUCUGGAGGAAUACCGAUGGCGAAGGCAGCCAUCUGGCCUAAUACUGACGCUGAGGUACGAAAGCAUGGGGAGCAAACAGG
This 430-nucleotide ribosomal RNA is filed under the name Pseudomonadota bacterium. RNAcentral's name for it is "Proteobacteria bacterium partial 16S ribosomal RNA". It matches the Rfam family "Bacterial small subunit ribosomal RNA", at positions 355 to 776 of the family's 1533-position model. The record is from RNAcentral. Lineage: Bacteria; Pseudomonadati; Pseudomonadota.